RNAcentral lists this transfer RNA (77 nucleotides) under Rickettsiales bacterium. RNAcentral describes it as "tRNA-Val". It matches the Rfam family "tRNA". Rfam says of the family: Transfer RNA (tRNA) molecules are approximately 80 nucleotides in length. Their secondary structure includes four short double-helical elements and three loops (D, anti-codon, and T loops). Lineage: Bacteria; Pseudomonadati; Pseudomonadota; Alphaproteobacteria; Rickettsiales. The record is from RNAcentral.
GGGGGUAUAGCUCAGUUGGCUAGAGCGUUACGUUGACAUCGUAAAGGUCGCUGGUUCGAAUCCAGCUACUCCCACCA